GAUGAAGAACGCAGCGAAAUGCGAUAAGUAAUGCGAAUUGCAGAAUCCAGCGAGUCAUCGAAUCUUUGAACGCACAUUGCGCCCGCCAGCACCCUGGCGGGCAUGCCUGUCCGAGCGUCACUCCCCCACCCGUCAAGCCCUGCUUGUGCUGGGGCACUGCGGCCGUCCGCAGGCCCCCAAAUCCAGUGGCGGGACCGCCGCCGCGCCGAGCGUAGUACAGCGCCUCGCUCCGGCACGUCGGCGGCCACCGGCCGUAAAAGCCCCCCCCCCGCGCCCCAGCGCGCAAGGUUGACCUCGGAUCAGGUAGGGAUACCCGCUGAACUUAAGCAUAUCAAUAAGCGGAGGA
Molecule: unclassified non-coding RNA, 346 nt
Filed under: soil metagenome
Description: partial contains 5.8S ribosomal RNA, internal transcribed spacer 2, and large subunit ribosomal RNA
Rfam family: 5.8S ribosomal RNA (bases 1-120)
Source: RNAcentral